RNAcentral lists this ribosomal RNA (359 nucleotides) under uncultured Thermosynechococcaceae cyanobacterium. RNAcentral's name for it is "bacterial SSU rRNA". It matches the Rfam family "Bacterial small subunit ribosomal RNA", at positions 524 to 881 of the family's 1533-position model. Lineage: Bacteria; Bacillati; Cyanobacteriota; Cyanophyceae; Acaryochloridales; Thermosynechococcaceae. The record is from RNAcentral.
GACGGAGGAGGCAAGCGUUAUCCGGAUUUAUUGGGCGUAAAGCGUCCGCAGGUGGCCUAUCAAGUCUGCUGUUAAAGCCCAGGGCUCAACCCUGGAUCAGCAGUGGAAACUGACAAGCUAGAGUGCGGUAGGGGUAGAGGGAAUUCCCGGUGUAGCGGUGAAAUGCGUAGAGAUCGGGAAGAACACCAGUGGCGAAAGCGCUCUACUGGACCGCAACUGACACUGAGGGACGAAAGCUAGGGGAGCGAAUGGGAUUAGAUACCCCAGUAGUCCUAGCCGUAAACGAUGGACACUAGGUGUUGCGCGUAUCGACCCGUGCAGUGCCGGAGCCAACGCGUUAAGUGUCCCGCCUGGGGAGU